RNAcentral lists this ribosomal RNA (468 nucleotides) under uncultured bacterium. RNAcentral describes it as "partial 16S ribosomal RNA". It matches the Rfam family "Bacterial small subunit ribosomal RNA", at positions 28 to 507 of the family's 1533-position model. The record is from RNAcentral.
GACGAACGCUGGCGGCGUGCUUAACACAUGCAAGUCGAACGGAAAGGCCCUGCUUUUGUGGGGUGCUCGAGUGACGAACGGGUGGGUAACACGUGAGUAACCUGCCCUUGACUUUGGGAUAACUUCAGGAAACUGGGGCUAAUACCGGAUAGGAGCUCCUGCUGCAUGGUGGGGGUUGGAAAGUUUCGGCGGUUGGGGAUGGACUCGCGGCUUAUCAGCUUGUUGGUGGGGUAGUGGCUUACCAAGGCUUUGACGGGUAGCCGGCCUGAGAGGGUGACCGGCCACAUUGGGACUGAGAUACGGCCCAGACUCCUACGGGAGGCAGCAGUGGGGAAUAUUGCACAAUGGGCGGAAGCCUGAUGCAGCAACGCCGCGUGCGGGAUGACGGCCUUCGGGUUGUAAACCGCUUUCGCCUGUGACGAAGCGUGAGUGACGGUAAUGGGUAAAGAAGCACCGGCUAACUACGUG